Molecule: ribosomal RNA, 1992 nt
Filed under: uncultured marine bacterium
Lineage: Bacteria
Description: bacterial SSU rRNA
Rfam family: Bacterial small subunit ribosomal RNA (bases 1-1534)
Source: RNAcentral
GACGAACGCUGGCGGCGUGCUUUAUACAUGCAAGUCAAGGAGAAUCUAUUCUUCGGAGUAGUAGUAAACUGGCGAACGGGUGAGUAACACGUAGGUAACCUACCCUAGAGAUUGGGACAACUUCGGGAAACCGGAGCUAAUACCGAAUAAUGCAGCGGACCCUUAGGGGUACAGUUGUUAAAGCGGGCUUCGGCUCGCACUUUAGGAUGGGCCUGCGGCCGAUUAGCUUGUUGGUGGGGUAAUGGCCUACCAAGGCGAUGAUCGGUAGCUGGUCUGAGAGGAUGAUCAGUCACACUGGGAUUGAGAUACGGCCCAGACCUCUACGGGGGGCAGCAGUAGGGAAUUUUGCGCAAUGGGCGAAAGCCUGACGCAGCAACGCCGCGUGAUCGAUGAAGCUUCUAGGAGCGUAAAGAUCUGUCGUGAGGGAAGAAAAAUUCGGAGGUAAAUAAUUUUCGUUUUUGACGGUACCUCACAAGAAAGCACCGGCUAACUUCGUGCCAGCAGCCGCGGUAAUACGAGGGGUGCUAGCGUUGUCCGGAAUCAUUGGGCGUAAAGGGUCCGUAGGCGGUUUAACAAGUCAAUUGUUAAAGACAUCGGCUUAACCGAUGGAGUGCAAUUGAAACUGUUAGAAUAGAGUUUAGGAGAGGAAAGUGGAAUUUCUGGUGUAGCGGUGACAUGCGUAGAUAUCAGAAGGAACACCAAUGGCGAAGGCAACUUUCUGGCCUAAAACUGACGCUGAGGGACGAAAGCGUGGGGAGCGAACAGGAUUAGAUACCCUGGUAGUCCACGCCGUAAACGAUGAGUAUUUGUUGUCGGGAGAUUCGACCCUCUCGGUAGCGGAGCUAACGCGUUAAAUACUCCGCCUGGGUACUACGACCGCAAGGUUGAAACUCAAAGGAAUUGACGGGGACCCGCACAAGCGGUGGAACAUGUGGUUUAAUUCGAUGCAACGCGAAGAACCUUACCUGGGUUUGACAUGUUCACGAAAGCUCUGUGAAAGCAGAGCCCUCUACGAGCUUGCUCAAAGACGUGAUCACAGGUGAUGCAUGGCUGUCGUCAGCUCGUGUCGUGAGAUGUUGGGUUAAGUCCCGCAACGAGCGCAACCCCUAUCCUUAGUUGCCAGCACAUUAUGGUGGGGACUCUAAGGAGACUGCCUAGGAUAACUAGGAGGAAGGUGGGGAUGAUGUCAAGUCAGUAUGUCCCUUAUAUCCAGGGCUACACACGUGUUACAAUGGUUAGUACAAAGGGUCGCAAAGCCGUAAGGUGGAGCCAAUCCCAAAAAACUAACCUCAGUUCGGAUUGGAGUCUGCAACUCGACUCCAUGAAGUCGGAAUCGCUAGUAAUCGUGGAUCAGAACGCUACGGUGAAUACGUUCCCGGGUCUUGUACACACCGCCCGUCACGCCAUGGAAGUCAGCAGUACCCGAAUCGGGUGGCUUAACCUUCGGGAGAGAGCUCGUUAAGGUAGGCUGGUAACUGGGGCGAAGUCGUAACAAGGUAGCCGUACCGGAAGGUGCGGCUGGAUCACCUCCUUUCUAAGGAGUACUGUGAAGAAAUUCACAGGACGGUCGAAAUUUGAAUCAACAGACUCACUUGCAUGCCAAAUAUAAUUGGGCUUGUAGCUCAGGUGGUUAGAGCGCUGCCCUGAUAAGGCAGAGGUCCGUGGUUCGAGUCCACGCAGGCCCACCAUUUAGCUGCAGCCAAUAAAAAUUGGGGCUUUAGCUCAGUUGGGAGAGCGCCUGAUUUGCAUUCAGGAGGUCAUCGGUUCGAUCCCGGUAAGCUCCACAGAUUUUUUUGCUUUUUGAAAAUUGGGAAAUUGGAUAACUGACAUUAUUUUUUAAUAAUAGAUGUAGCCAAGUCAUCUUCAAGAAAGACACUUUAGUAAAGCUACUAAGGGCGUACGGGGGAUGCCUAGGCACAUGGAGGCGAUGAAGGACGUGAUAAGCUGCGAAAAGCUUCGGGGAGGUGCAAAUAACCUUUGAUCCGGAGGUAU